Molecule: non-coding RNA, 70 nt
Filed under: Shewanella xiamenensis
Lineage: Bacteria; Pseudomonadati; Pseudomonadota; Gammaproteobacteria; Alteromonadales; Shewanellaceae
Source: RNAcentral
AAGCGAAACCCGCCUCAGUGAUGGGGCGCGGUCUACCUAACGUAGUGGUUAGGUACUGAUGAGCAGCUAA